Molecule: ribosomal RNA, 558 nt
Filed under: Triticum aestivum (bread wheat)
Lineage: Eukaryota; Viridiplantae; Streptophyta; Magnoliopsida; Poales; Poaceae
Description: partial small subunit ribosomal RNA
Source: RNAcentral
AUGGAAAAGCAUCUUGUAAUGUAUUUAACAAGAAAAUCGAGUAUGCUCCUGCGGAAGUAUCUACUCGUAACGGAAUUUCAGGUGUCAAAGUGCGGAUCUCAUAUAGUCAAAAUAAGAAGGGACGUGCUAUAUCCGAAACGUACGAAAUAUAGUAAAUAUUUUAAAUGCAGAUGUAGUAGGGGUCGCGAACCGGAUGGUAGACAACUUGGUUUUGGAAGAUAUGGCACCAAAAGUUGUAGAGCUGGUCGUCUUUCAUACCGAGCCAUUGAAGCAGCGCGUCAGGCUACAAUCGGACAAUUCCAUCGUGCUAUGAGCAGACAAUUCCUAAGAAAUUGUAAGAUAUGGGUAAGAGUUCUCGCAGAUCUUCCUAUUACGGGGAAACCCGCAGAAGUUCGAAUGGGAAGAGGAAAAGGAAAUCCUACGGGUUGGAUUGCUCGUGUGUCCACCCGACAAAUCCCAUUUGAAAUGGAUGGUGUGAGUUUGUCAAAUGCUCGUCAAGCCGCUAGAUUAGCGGUGCAUAAACCAUGUUCGUCAACCAAGUUUGUUCAGUGGUCGUAA